UGUAUUAUUUUCUGCCGCAAAUUGUUGGGUUGUCAAUCGGAUAACCCUAUCUAGCAGAACAAUAUCCUUGUUUUCUUCUCGCCCUCUCCCCUGUUUCCUCCCCCAUUUCCCCCUUGUUUUGAUCUCGAUCUAUCUUCUUUGUAUGCAGGUGGUGAAGCCGACGAGCAAGCAGACGAAGGUAGACACGACGUCAGUCACCGAGCACAGCCACGGGCAGACCUGCAAUGGGCAAUCGACGCCGCCCAUCGCCAGGAAUCAUUGUUGGAGGAGUUGUUGAUGGUACACGCAAUCCACCACCAAGCACCACCGGGGGAGGAGCUACAUCGGGCCAGCUAUGUCGUACGUUGCCGGGACGAGCUACAACGGUCUGACGACGCCGACUGCGUGGACUGGGCCUGGAGCCGCGUGGUUGGCGGAGCCGGGGCGGGGUGCUUCACAGGCUACGACGCCAUUGGUUAACUGGAGUGAAAUGCCGGACUUGUUCGAGACACGGUAGAGACGCUACUGCGAGGCCUCUCUGCCAUCACCGAUGCUGCCAUGUUCGUCGGGCGUCGUGUGCGGCCCAGAAUAUCGGAGACACAGCAGUUUGGUUGGGCUGUUCAGACCGAACUCCGUCCAGCGCCAUUUUUUCUGCAAGCUAGAGGACAGCGGCAGUCAGGCAGGCAAUCCGGAGAUGAAUGGGAGCUUUGAGUAAUUGGCCAUGAAUCAUACCCUAAUGAAAACCAGUACAACUUGUACUCGAAGUAGGUAGGAUAUAUGUUACAGGGAGGACUGCAUGGUCGAUGAUAACCUGAAGCCGUGAGCCGCCAGACCAGUGCAGGACGUCUACUUCCUGCUGCCGUUGUACCAAACCACUCUCCAGCAUUACACAAACGAUGAUGAUGA
Molecule: long non-coding RNA, 885 nt
Organism: Hordeum vulgare subsp. vulgare (domesticated barley)
Lineage: Eukaryota; Viridiplantae; Streptophyta; Magnoliopsida; Poales; Poaceae
Exons: 3
Source: RefSeq, a predicted model, not a curated record